RNAcentral lists this ribosomal RNA (598 nucleotides) under Algidia sp. MCZ IZ 135672. RNAcentral's name for it is "SSU rRNA". It matches the Rfam family "Eukaryotic small subunit ribosomal RNA", at positions 1175 to 1790 of the family's 1831-position model. The record is from RNAcentral. Lineage: Eukaryota; Metazoa; Arthropoda; Arachnida; Opiliones; Triaenonychidae.
AGUGGAGCCUGCGGCUUAAUUUGACUCAACACGGGAAAACUUACCCGGCCCGGANNCNGGAAGGAUUGACAGAUUAAGAGCUCUUUCUUGAUUCGGUGGGUGGUGGUGCAUGGCCGUUCUUAGUUGGUGGAGCGAUUUGUCUGGUUAAUUCCGAUAACGAACGAGACUCUAGCCUACUUAAUAGAGAACCGAUUUCCUCUCGUCGGUUACUCUUCUUAGAGGGACAAGCGGCGUUUAGCCGCACGAGACAGAGCAAUAACAGGUCUGUGAUGCCCUUAGAUGUCCGGGGCCGCACGCGCGCUACACUGAAGGAAUCAGCGUGUGUUCACCCUGGCCGAAAGGUCUGGGUAACCCGUUGAACCUCCUUCGUGAUAGGGAUAGGGGCUUGUAACUAUUCCCCUUGAACGAGGAAUUCCCAGUAAGCGCGAGUCAUAAGCUCGCGUUGAUUACGUCCCUGCCCUUUGUACACACCGCCCGUCGCUACUACCGAUUGAAUGAUUUAGUGAGGUCUUCGGACUGGUGCUCGGAGCGGCCCUCGGGUCGCGCCGGCGUACCGGAAAAGAUGACCAAACUUGAUCAUUUAGAGGAAGUAAAAGUC